CCACCACCACCACCACCACCACCAUCAACAGCAACAACGGAAACAACAUGAGCGCGAUAAGGAUUCUCUUCUCCUCACAGUCUUCAGCGCGACCUUGGCUACCACCAACGAGUGGGUUCUUUUACCCACUCGGCCAUGCCGCUGGUCUUUCGACACAUUGUUCUAAGAAGAAGGAAAAAUUCUCGCUUUUUCUUGGCGGAUGAUUUUGAAUUCCAUCUUUCGGGUCCCCACAUCAGCUGUGGGAACCCAGCAAACAGCAGCAACGUUUAAAGUGCCUUCGAGGACCAGAUUGUACGUAACGCCCUGUUCAAGCGACAUAUUUAUGCGCCUCUGGAUGUUUGGACGCACUACGCUUCAGUGCCCGUCAGCUGGUGGAAGCACUGAGGCCGGAGCCCAUCACCUUA
Molecule: long non-coding RNA, 404 nt
Organism: Ornithodoros turicata
Lineage: Eukaryota; Metazoa; Arthropoda; Arachnida; Ixodida; Argasidae
Exons: 3
Source: RefSeq, a predicted model, not a curated record